Molecule: ribosomal RNA, 460 nt
Filed under: uncultured bacterium
Lineage: Bacteria
Description: partial 16S ribosomal RNA
Rfam family: Bacterial small subunit ribosomal RNA
Source: RNAcentral
CCUACGGGAGGCAGCAGUGAGGAAUAUUUGUCAAUGGACGAGAGUCUGAACCAGCCAAGCAGCGUGAAGGAUGACUGCUCUAUGGAUUGUAAACUUCUUUUAUAAAGGAAUAAAACGAGGCACGUGUGCCUGUUUGCAUGUACUUUAUGAAUAAGGAUCGGCUAACUCCGUGCCAGCAGCCGCGGUAAUACGGAGGAUCCGAGCGUUAUCCGGAUUUAUUGGGUUUAAAGGGAGCGUAGGUGGGUUGUUAAGUCAGUUGUGAAAGUUUGGGGCUCAACCGUAAAAUUGCAAUUGAUACUGGCAGUCUUGAGUACAGUAGAGGUAGGCGGAAUUCGUGGUGUAGCGGUGAAAUGCUUAGAUAUCACGAAGAACCCCGAUUGCGAAGGCAGCUUACUGAACUGUAACUGACAUUGAGGCUCGAAAGUGUGGGUAUCGAACAGGAUUAGAUACCCCUGUAGUC